RNAcentral lists this unclassified non-coding RNA (693 nucleotides) under Hevea brasiliensis (rubber tree). Lineage: Eukaryota; Viridiplantae; Streptophyta; Magnoliopsida; Malpighiales; Euphorbiaceae. The record is from RNAcentral.
AAUCCAAGAAUUGAAGACCAAUUACACGAUAAAUCUAAUUAGGCAAAUCUUGUUUUCUUUAUGCAAUCAAACAUGAGUGUCAAUUCUAUAACUUUGGGUAAAUAAUUUUUGAAUUUUUUUAGUGUGUAUUUUUUUAAAAUUUUUUGUAAGGAUGUCAACCUCAAUUUCAUGUCCUUUAGAUUUGCAAUAGCAUCAUUUUUUUAUGUAGAUAAAUUUAAUUUGGUUGAUGGGCUAUAUUUUCGCAUAUGGCAUGUCAAUUUCAUUUGGCUUAUUGAUCUGAAAAUAUAUUACUAAAUUUCUUUAACAGAACAUGUUAGGUAUAUGAAGUGUUAAUUAGAUUCUUGUAAAAUUUGGAGCUUUUCUUGUAAAACUAAUUUAUUUUCCUAUUUUGGGGUAAUUUUAGAUGUGAAUAUAAAGUGAUAGCCCAUACAUUAUAAUUUUCAUUUUCUUUUGUUUCUAAUAUUUUAUUGCAUUUAUUUUUUUUCUUAUUUUGAUUUUUAUACUAACUUUAUUUAUUUUGUUAUGCAUGAGUUUGAUAUUUGUUUUUUGAGAACAUUAGAAGAUUGAAUGGGAGAAAAUGGGAUUGAAGUCUCAAUCUUGAGAUAUAAGAUUUCAAAUAAAUUUUAUUAAUUUUGAGACUUAAAUUUCCGUAUUGGUCUUUUUGCAUUAAUCAUUUAUUCUUUUGAAUAUAAA